UUGAACGCUGGCGGCAUGCUUUACACAUGCAAGUCGAACGGUAACAGGUUAAGCUGACGAGUGGCGAACGGGUGAGUAAUGCAUCGGAACGUGCCCGAUCGUGGGGGAUAACGCAGCGAAAGCUGCGCUAAUACCGCAUACGAUCUGAGGAUGAAAGCGGGGGACCGUAAGGCCUCGCGCGAUCGGAGCGGCCGAUGUCAUAUUAGGUAGUUGGUGGGGUAAAGGCUCACCAAGCCGACGAUCUGUAGCUGGUCUGAGAGGACGACCAGCCACACUGGGACUGAGACACGGCCCAGACUCCUACGGGAGGCAGCCGUGGGGAAUUUUGGACAAUGGGGGCAACCCUGAUCCAGCCAUGCCGCGUGAGUGAAGAAGGCCUUCGGGUUGUAAAGCUCUUUCAGACGGAAAGAAAACGCAUCGGUGAAUACCCGGUGUGGAUGACGGUACCGUAAGAAGAAGCACCGGCUAACUACGU
RNAcentral lists this ribosomal RNA (475 nucleotides) under uncultured bacterium. RNAcentral's name for it is "bacterial SSU rRNA". It matches the Rfam family "Bacterial small subunit ribosomal RNA", at positions 29 to 506 of the family's 1533-position model. The record is from RNAcentral.